This 23-nucleotide non-coding RNA is filed under the name Arabidopsis thaliana (thale cress). The record is from RNAcentral. Lineage: Eukaryota; Viridiplantae; Streptophyta; Magnoliopsida; Brassicales; Brassicaceae.
CGGACUCGUCUCUGGCUUGGGAC